Non-coding RNA from Micropterus salmoides (largemouth bass), 303 nucleotides. The record is from the annotation of a RefSeq genome assembly. NCBI's taxonomy places the organism in Eukaryota, Metazoa, Chordata, Actinopteri, Centrarchiformes, Centrarchidae.
AUGGGAUUCAUUCUGAACAACUGUGUCACUUUUGUAUCACUGUGGUGGACUUUUGGUGGAGGAACCAGACUGGAGUUUGGAAGUGAUGCCCGUCCCACCCUGACGGUGCUGCCCCCCUCCAGCGAGGAGCUGCAGCAGGGGAAGGCCACGCUCAUGUGCCUGGCCAACAAGGGCUUCCCCUCAGACUGGAGUCUGGCCUGGAAGGUGGACGGCAGCAGCAGCAGCAGCAGCAGCAGCUGGGAGGAGAGCAGGAGCCCCGGGGUGCUGCAGAAGGACGGCCACUACAGCUGGAGCAGCACCCUG